This 393-nucleotide ribosomal RNA is filed under the name uncultured bacterium. RNAcentral describes it as "bacterial SSU rRNA". It matches the Rfam family "Bacterial small subunit ribosomal RNA", at positions 30 to 429 of the family's 1533-position model. The record is from RNAcentral.
AUUGAACGCUGGCGGCAUGCCUUACACAUGCAAGUCGAACGGCAGCGGACCUUCGGGUGCCGGCGAGUGGCGAACGGGUGAGUAAUGCAUCGGAACGUGCCAUUGAGUGGGGGAUAACGUAGCGAAAGUUACGCUAAUACCGCAUAUUCUGUGAGCAGGAAAGCAGGGGACCGCAAGGCCUUGCGCUCUUUGAGCGGCCGAUGUCAGAUUAGCUAGUUGGUGAGGUAAAGGCUUACCAAGGCGACGAUCUGUAGCGGGUCUGAGAGGAUGAUCCGCCACACUGGAACUGAGACACGGUCCAGACUCCUACGGGAGGCAGCAGUGGGGAAUUUUGGGACAAUGGGCGCAAGCCUGAUCAGCCAUGCCGCGUGAGUGAAGAAGGCCUGGUGUAAG